CCUACGCGUGGCCACAGUGGGGAAUAUUGCACAAUGGGGGAAACCCUGAUGCAGCGACGCCGCGUGAGCGAUGAAGUAUUUCUGUAUGUAAAGCUCUAUCAGCAGGGAAGAAAAUGACGGUACCUGACUAAUAAGCCCCGGCUAACUACGUUCCAGCCGCCGCGGUAAUACGUAGGGGGCAAGCGUUAUCCGGAUUUACUGGGUGUAACGGGAGCGUAGACGGCUGUGCAAGCCAGAUGUGAAAGCCCGGGGCUCAACCCCGGGACUGCAUUUGGAACUGUGUGGCUGGAGUGUCGGAGAGGCAGGCGGAAUUCCUAGGGUAGCGGUGAAAUGCGUAGAUAUUAGGAGGAACACCAGUGGCGAAGGCGGCCUGCUGGACGAUGACUGACGUUGAGGCUCGAAAGCGUGGGGAGCAAACAGGAUUAGAUACCCGAGUAGUC
Molecule: ribosomal RNA, 440 nt
Filed under: uncultured bacterium
Lineage: Bacteria
Description: partial 16S ribosomal RNA
Rfam family: Bacterial small subunit ribosomal RNA
Source: RNAcentral